This 464-nucleotide ribosomal RNA is filed under the name uncultured bacterium. Its description in RNAcentral is "partial 16S ribosomal RNA". It matches the Rfam family "Bacterial small subunit ribosomal RNA", at positions 338 to 795 of the family's 1533-position model. The record is from RNAcentral.
CCUACGGGGGGCAGCAGUAGGGAAUCUUCCACAAUGGGCGAAAGCCUGAUGGAGCAACGCCGCGUGGGUGAAGAAGGUCUUCGGAUCGUAAAACCCUGUUGUUAGAGAAGAAAGUGCGUGAGAGUAACUGUUCACGCUUCGACGGUAUCUAACCAGAAAGCCACGGCUAACUACGUGCCAGCAGCUGUGGAAAUACGUGGGGGGCAAGCGUUAUCCGGAUUUAUUGGGCGAAAAGGGAACGCAGGCGGUCUUUUAAGUCGGAUGUGAAAGCCUUCGGCUUAACCGGAGUAGUGCAUUGGAAACUGUGAAACUGAGUGCAGAAGAGGUGAGUGGAACUCGAAGUGUAGCGGUGAAAUGCGUAGAUAUAGGGAAGAACACCAGUGGCGAAAGCGGCUCUCUGGUCUGUAACUGACGCUGAGGUUCGAAAGCGUGGGUAGCAAACAGGAUUAGAUACCCCAGUAGUC